Molecule: ribosomal RNA, 499 nt
Filed under: uncultured bacterium
Lineage: Bacteria
Description: partial 16S ribosomal RNA
Rfam family: Bacterial small subunit ribosomal RNA
Source: RNAcentral
ACUCAAAGGAAUUGACGGGGGCCCGCACAAGCGGUGGAUCAUGUGGUUUAAUUCGAAGCAACGCGAAGAACCUUACCUGGGUUUGACAUCUCUCGCUAUGGGUAGAGAUAUCCAGUUGGUAGCAAUACCACGAGAAGACAGGUGCUGCAUGGCUGUCGUCAGCUCGUGUGGUGACAUGUUGGGUUAAGUCCCGCAACGAGCGCAACCCUUGUCCUUAGUUGCCAGCAUUCAGUUGGGCUCUCUAAGGAGACUGCCGUGGUGAACACGGAGGAAGGUGGGGAUGACGUCAAGUCCUCAUGGCCUUUAUAUCCAGGGCGACACACGUGAUACAAUGGACGGUACAGAGGGAAGCGAAGCCGCGAGGUGGAGCCAAUCUCAAAAAGCCGUUCUCAGUUCGGAUUGGAGUCUGCAACUCGACUCCAUGAAGUUGGAAUCGCUAGUAAUCGCGGAUCAGCACGCCGCGGUGAAUACGUUCCCGGGCCUUGUACACACCGCCCGU